GGUAAGUCCUCGGUUUUAAUCACUUUCCUCAUAAAAGCUUGAAAUUUGUUGUACUGUACUACCAUCAGGAUUGACAGUUCCUGAGAUUUAUUAGCUGCUUGCUUUUGAACAAAAUUUUGCUUUAAAAAAUUAAAGGAGUUUUUCUUACAAAAUCAUGCUAUUUAGUACAACAUACGAGCUGGGUCUAUGAUACUAUUAAGUAUACUAUUGCCCCAGCCUUACUGAAAAUCCCUAGUCGAUGAAGUUGGGUUACUGAAAUUAUGUAUAUGUACCAGAAUCUAGGGCAAUAACAGCAUAUUUGGCCGAGAAAUACAAGGAAACGGGGUGUGAUCUCUUGAGGCACAAUGACCUCAAAGAAGCUGCAUUGGUGAAGGUGUGGUUGGAGGUUGAAUCCCAACAAUAUCAUCCGGCAAUAUACCAGAUUGUGUACCAGUUCUUCGUGUUGCCUCUACAAGGCAAGACGGCCGAUCAGGCCAUUAUUGAUGUAAAUCUGGAGAAGUUGGGUAAGGUUCUGGAUGUGUAUGAGGCCAGGCUGGGCACCACAAAGUGCCUAGCAGGAGAUUUCUACAGCUUGGCUGAUCUUCACCACCUUUCUUACACUUACUAUUUCAUGAAGACGCCAUGGGCUUCCCUCAUAAACAGCCGUCCCAAUGUGAAGGCAUGGUGGGAGGACAUUUCCUCAAGGCCAGCUUUCAAGAAAGUGGCUGAAGGCAUGACUUUUGGUGAGAAGUGAUCGGUUUCUGAGCAGUGUGGCUCUAUGUUUUGGGGUAAUAUUAAUUGUAGUGGUUGCUGCCUCUUAAUUACGUGUAUUUAAGUGUGAGACCACGUAAUAAUUACUGAUUAUGUGUUAUGAUUUGCCCUAAAUUAAUCAGAAAUGUGGAAUUAUCUGGGGUUUCUCAUUGUGGUAAUUAAUCUGCUUGCAACCAGUUUUUGAAAGGGUUUGAUGCAUUUUUACUCCAUACUUUGCUUUAGCUAGGGUUAUGUUGGUGUCUCUAAGGCAUAAUGCUUCCAUUUUUGAGUCAUUGCAUACUCAGAUCAAAGUUUUCAAGACUUGUAGAAAAUGGGUUUUGGUAUUUUCAUGAAAGAGAAUGAAAGGGCAAAUUUCUUCACAAGGCAUGUAGUAAGGGUUUUCCCUUUCAAUCAGUCUUUUUCCUGAGAAACAAACAGAAUGUAUAUCAUGCCGUGUCAUCCACUGUGACAGUUUUCCUCUGAAGAGUUUUACUGCAGUACUUCCUAUUUAUUCCCAUUUUUACUUCCCAAACGAGGUAAACACGUACUGUACUGCAGCUCUGGUUAUUUUCAUCAUCCUUGCUUGUCCAAAGCAGCUUCACUCUUUGAACCUAUUUUUAUUGUUAUAUAUAUAUAUAUAUUAGGUCAAAUUAAUCUUCCAAUUUUCUAACUCUAAGCCCUUGCAAAGAGUUUUUGUAGUAUCAUAUGUAUCUACUAUCAGUCAAGCAGAAACUGGAUAAUGUUCUAUAUACGCUUCAAUAAUUAUGGAUCCAGCAAAGGAGAUCUUUUGUUAUGCUACGGGUCUCUACUAAAAUCUGAGGCUGGAACCCACUUCAAUUAUUCACUCAUUUUGUUCUCAUAGAACCUUCAGCCAUGUGACCCUCACCCUCCAACUAACUUUCAACCACAUCUACCACCUUUCUUUCCUUUUUAUUUUUAUUUUUUAGUUUUGACCUAAUUCCAUCUAACUCUCAAAAUGUAUUCUAAAUCAUGCAUCACAGUCUCAAAAUAUAUGUAGGCCCUUCUCUCUAGAUUCUUGAUUCUAUAGUCUUGUACAACCCAAAUUUCUUAGACUCUAGUCUGAAUAAGCUUGAUAGACAUGAUUGUGCUUAUUAUUUAAUAAUUUAAGUUUUUCUUAUAGUAAUUAAUAGUUUAAUAUGAUAUAAUAAAAUUUCUUAUCUUAAUUAAUUUGUAAAAUUAUCUAGAUGAGAUAAAUAGAUAGUCCUAAUUUUUAACUCCAAAAAUUGAUUUUUUUUCUCAAUUAUAAAUUUUCUUAAUCCAAUGCGAGAUUCAAAUAUCAAAAUAAUAGCUAGUUUCAUAAGACACUUGAUGUAUGUGGAAAACCAUCAACAAUCAUGGGUUUGCAAAACAAAGUAAUUACUAAAUCUAAAAGAAUAAGUACACAAUUUUUAUCAAAAUUUGAUACUAUCUUCUCCCAAGGGUCUUAUGUUGGCACAUAUUUACACUUGUUUUCAUGUUUGAGAUGCAACACCUUAUACCCUUUAGGAAACUCCUCAACUACUUGAUAACAUAUAAUCAACCAUUAUGAUUUGAUCUCAAAUAAGAGUUAAGCGAUUGAAAAUGUAUGUGUAGUGAGUUUGAAAUGAGAAUGAUAGAGAAAUUGAACUUUUUCAUUAGACUUUAAAUGAAGCCAUUAAGGAAGAGAUCCACUCCCAAGAUUAAUUCAAGAUGGGGAUAUAAAAAUGGUAUCUUACCAUAAUGACGUCAUCCAUCAAACUUUAUAUGAAGAAGAUAAAUCCAUUGGUUGAACUCUUUAUAGAGGAAUAAUUGACUCUUUAUCAUUAAACAAUAUAUGUUUGUUUUCAACUUGCAAAGAAUCUUAUUCUAGUGCUAUUAAAAAAAUUCUUAAAUAUUUAAAAAGAAUAAUUAAACUAUGUUUGUGAUAUCAUGCAUACUAACUUUGAUCUAAUUAACUAAUUAAAAGUGGAUUUUCCGUUUGUAAAAGUAAUGGAAAUGUAUUAGUGGUACUUAUAAUGUUUGUUUUCAAUCUUACAAAGAAUCUUAUUUUAGUGCUAUUAAAAAUAUUCUUAAAUAUUUAAAAAGAAUAAUUAAACCACGUUUGUGGUAUCAUGCAUACUAACUUUGAUCUAAUUAACUAAUUAAAAAUGGGUUGUUCCAUUUGUAAAAGUAAUGGAAACGUAUUAGUGGUACUUCUAACUUUCUAGGCCACUCACUAGGUUUUGACAUAGUGAUCGAACCUUUGAUCAAUUGAGUUGUCGUGUGCGAUAUAUUUCAUAAUGACUAAUUGAUGCAUGGUGGUUUAGACUUAGUCUUAAUUGGUUGAGGACUUGUUGAUCAGAUGUUAAUCGAUUAAGGUUCUUGCACCUUAAUGAUUACCUCCAAGUGUACUUUUAUUUAAUAGCAUGUUUCUUAGUCCAUCGCCUAAUCCACUAAUUCAGCUAAAAAUGUGCCUAAGGGCUAGUUUCACUCUAGAACUCUUAUUUAAAACUUUCCAACCUUGAGCAAUCAUUGUAGCAAUUUAUUGAAUGGUUCUCUAGAAUACUCUUAUUCCCAAACUCGCAAGUCUCAUUUAGUCUACCUUAAUCUUAGUUUAUUUAUAUAUUUGAUCCUGAAUUUUGCAAACUAGAAAGCUUACUUUAAGAAAUUCACUCUUGUAUUCAUGAAAGAGUAUACUGAAAUGUAAGGGAUCACUUGAGGGCAUUGCAAAGGCAUAUUGGAAGCUUAAAUAUAAGUGUAAAAAAAUUAAAAGCAAAAUCUUAGCACUAGUGAAUGGACCUCAAGCUUAGAUUGAUGAAAGAGAGAGUGGAUAUAGGAGUUAUAGAACCAUUAUAAGUACUUUAUUGCAUCACUCUAUCCCUAUCUCUAUUAAUUUACUUGCACUAUAUUAAUUUUUAUAAUUUGCUUUUUAAUUUUCUAAAUUUUGCAAAAGAACUAACACCGAAUUCUCCUCCCCUCUUGGGUGUCUUCCUCAAGUGAACUCAACUAAUUUGCUUUUCAAUUUUCUAAAAUCAUGAAUCAAUGUAUCAUAAAGCAAAUCCACUAAUUUAAAAAGAAUUAAUACACGGUUUUACCUUAACCAUAUGUUAUCUUCCCCUAAUAAUCUUACACCAAUCAACACAUCCAUUUGUUUUCACGUUUGCAAUGCAAUAUAUGCUCCUUAGUAAACUCCUUAGCAAUUUGAGAUAAUACAAUCAACCAUCAUAAUUUAUCCUUUAAUUAAAGUUAAGUUUUCAGGAAUAUUGGAAACACACAUGAGAAUAACGACAAUUAUUUUCGAGAGCAUGUUGUUUUUUCAAUAUAAGGAGAAAAUCUUACUAAGUCUAUCCAAAUACAUUAAUUGAAAAAAAUAUAGAAUUAGAAAAUCAUGAAAAAAAAAAAACAAAUGGGUCCAAGGUAAACCGAUGUACUCCAUUUUGUCAUGAAUAUUCACUAAAAAUUACUCAACCGUACACAAGCUUGACACACAACAUUUCCCCACUACGUAAUAGCCAUUAAAUCAAAUGAAAAAUAAAAUCUCCAACGUUAAAUUAAGUUGACACCGUGUGCAUCCCUGGUUUCAUAAUGCAGAGUGAGAUGAAACAGAAUCGAUGCACAAGUACUGGGAAAUAAAAUUACCCAUCACGAGUCUAGAAAAUGGGUUCUGAUAUUUUCACAUAAGACAAUGUUGGAGGAUUCUAGGAAAAGAAAGAGAAUGCGGGAAAGGGAAAAUUCUUCACAUGCCUACAGCAUUUACGGCAUAAAGAACGUUUUCUUUCUCAAAGCAUGUGAUCUUUUUCCUGAGAACCAAACAGAUGGCAAAAGCAAGUUCCUGCUUGUCCAAAAAAACCCUGUACUCAUUGGACUAACAAAGCCUGAAUUAAAUAUGGGCCAUUUCGUACCUUCACCAUGGCCCAUUUCUUGUGAUGUUCUUUUGAAUAAAUUUAAGAAAUUACUGUUAGAAAUCAAAUAGAUUGAAUAAAUAUUUUAAUUUAUAAAAAAAUCAUCUUAAAUAAAUAACAAAUAAUAAAUAGGAGAAGGAAAAGAGAAAGUACGUAUAUUUGCAAUGUUACAUUACCUCACCUUAUCGUUUUCCAAAACUUAUAGUAAGCAAGAAUUGGAUUUACUUCUGCCUUCUAUUCUUCAUCAAUACAAUAUGAACGGUAGAGAAGUCCCUUGUUCUAAAGGAGCCGGGCAAGUCGAUUGAAACAAGCGAAUCGAGGUGGCCUGCAACUACCCUAAACAACACUGCAUAAGAAGCCAACAAACUAGUAUAUAACGCCCACCAUACCCUCUUCAUUUUCAGUACCACCUCACCAUCCUCCAUUCAUAUCGCCCAUUUUCACCCACCUCUUUCUCUCUCUCUCUCUCUCUCUCACUCUCUCAGUUUCUCAGUCUUUCAAUGGCGCUCAAGCUCCAUGGAAUUCCCAUGUCCACUUGCACCACUCGUGUCCUCACCUGUCUCCAUGAGAAAGGCUUGGAUUUUGAGCUUGUCCCUGUUAAUCUCUUUGCAGGUGAACAUAAGCAGCCUCCUUUUCUUGCCAAGAAUGUGAGUCUCACUUUCUUCUUUCUUUCUAAUCAUCUCUCUUUCUUCUCUCUGUAGAUUUUGCUUUCUUUGGGGUUGUAUAAAUUAUGAUUUUCCUUGGUUUGGGUACAUUGUUUUUAAUGUACAGUCUCGUCGAUUUGAUUUUGGUCUUGGUUUUGUUAUACAUAUAUGCAGCCCUUUGGACAGAUUCCAGUUCUGGAAGAUGGCGAUUUCACUCUUUUUGGUAAGUUCACGGUUUUAAUCACUUUCCUCAUAAGAGCUUGAAAUUUUUUGUACUGUACUACCAUCAGGACCGACAGUUCCUGAGUUUUAUCACCUGGUUGCUUUUCAACAAAAAUUUUCUUUCAAAAAUUUAAAGAGUUUUUCUAACAAAAUCAUGCUAUGUAGUACAUCAUAUCGAGCUCAUAUAUUAUUAUUUUGAUCAAUUUUAGACCAAUCAUUUUUCUGGAUAAUUUUCGUAGUUUUUUUAUUUCGCUUUCAUGUUAGUCAUGUUAGUCCAGGUUUACUGUAAAUCCCCGGUUGAUUUAGUUGGGUUAUUGAAAAAUUAUGUUUAUGUACCAGAAUCUAGAGCAAUAACAGCAUAUUUGGCCGAGAAAUACAAGGAAACGGGGUGUGAUCUCUUGAGGCACAAUGACCUCAAAGAAGCUGCAUUGGUGAAGGUAUGGUUGGAGGUUGAAUCCCAACACUACUAUCCUGCAAUAUACCAGAUUGUGUACCAGUUCUUCGCGUUGCCUCUACAAGGCAAGACGGCCGAUCAGGCCAUUAUUGAUGUAAAUCUGGAGAAGUUGGGUAAGGUUCUGGAUGUGUAUGAGGCCAGGCUGGGCACCACAAAGUGCCUAGCAGGAGAUUUCUACAGCUUGGCUGAUCUUCACCACCUUUCUUACACUUACUACUUCAUGAAGACGCCAUGGGCUUCCCUCAUAAACAGCCGUCCCAAUGUGAAGGCAUGGUGGGACGACAUUUCCUCAAGGCCAGCUUUCAAGAAAGUGGCUGAGGGCAUGACUUUUGGUGAGAAGUGAUCGGUUUCUGAGCAGUGUGGCUCUAUGUUUUGGGGUAAUAUUAAUUGUAGUGGUUGCUGCCUCUUAAUUACGUUUAUUUAAGCGUGAGACCACGUAAUAAUUACUGAUUAUGUGUUAUGAUUUGCCCUGAAUUAAUCAGAAAUGUGGAAUUAUCUGGGGUUUCUCAUCGUGGUAAUUAAUAUGCUUUCAACCAAUUUUUGAAGGGUUGGAUGCAUUUUUAGUCCAAGUACGAUAAUAUUAGUUAUCAUGUUAUAAGCACAAAUUUCAUUAAGUGCAACGUAAGCACAACAAUAGAAAAAUAUACAAAAUAAAAAUGAACUAAUUGUGGGAUACAAUGUCAAUGUUAAUAUUUUUUACAAAAUAAUAUUUUCUAUUUGAUUAUUUCAUUUUGAUAAGAUAUCAAAAACAAACAAUGAAAGUGUUUCCUUGAUUUUGAGAGUCAAUUAAAGACUUAAAGUGAUUUAUUUAUAAAUGACUUUGUCGAAAGAUAAAUAACACGUGUUAUUCUUUUGUGAUUUCUCAAACUUGUAGGAAAAUUUUGUGAAGCUUUAAGUCAAUUGAGGACCUAGAAUGACUUAUUUGUAAAUCACUUUGAUUAAAACAAUCUGAAAGCAGACGACGAAAGUGUUUUCUUGAUUUUGAAAAUCAAUCAAUGACCUAAAAUUGUUUAUUCUAAAAUGAUUUUGUAAAAAGGCAAAAAGCACGUGUGUAAUUCUUUUGCUAUUAAUUGAACUUACGGGAAGAUUUUAUGAAAUAUUUUCUUUUUUAUGAAUCUUCUUUCCACUCGUUUUGUCAAUUGAUUUGAAGUCGAUUAUUUGAUUUGGUAAUUUGUCUCAUUCAUUAAGAAAAUUUGCGAGCAAGAUAAUAUUUAUUUUAAAUUUCCUUUUACUUCAAUGGAAGAUUUGUUUCUUUUAGAAAUUUAUCAACAAUAGAAUAUGCAUGCAAUUGAAAAUUUUGAUUUUAUUUACAAGACUAAAUUUUGUAAUCUUUCAAAUUUCAUCCAGUAUCACUUUUUAAAUAUAUGUCAUAUGUCAAAUGUGUGUUGUUAGCCUCAAAUUUUGUUGAAUUGGGGAGCCAUAAUUUUGAAAUCAAUUUAGUUAUAAUUUAAUUCGCUAAAAAGUUUUGAUGUCUACAUAUGAAUAUAUCAGUCUUUAGAUUUUAUGGAUAUAUUGGAAUAUAUCAGGAAAUAUUAGUGAAUAUUUUGAAAAAAAUAUUGAGAAGAUGAAAAUUGAUCAAAACUCAUAAACAUAUAUGAGAAAAACUCUAAGAAAUGAUAAAAGUAAUAACAUAUAUUUUGAAAUUGUUUUGUUAAAGAAAUUGAUAUAUUUAUAAUAUAAUUUAUCAUAUCUAACAAUAAUAUCAUGUGCGCCAACAAGAAAUAUGAAAUUUGUAAAUGUAUAUUUAUUAUUAAGUUAUAUUAAAUAUUAGUCAACAACAAUAUUAUGAUAUUUAAUAAUAAUAUAUCCAACUAAAAAAUGUAUUUAAUAUUAAAACUAUAAUCUAUUUAAUGCAUUCAAUGAUAUAAAACAAAUAAUUAUAUAUAUUUAUAUUUUAAAAAUAUAUAUAAAAUUAUAUAAUAAUAAUCAUCAUCAUAAUCAUCAUCUCCAUCUCCAUCUUCUUCAUCAUCAUUAAAUCAGAGACAAGGAUUCAUUGUCCUAUACCUAAAAUUGGACAAUUAUGCUUUAGGGUUUUUAAAAAAAUGUUAUUGGUCCAAAGGAUGCCAAAGAUGUAUAAUUAAUGUAAAGCAUAUGAUAUGUUACUCCUUGAAAACAUAGGUAUAUACAAACAUAUUUCAUUUUUGGACCUAAUUAUACAUCUUUCGUAUCUUUUUUAUUUGUCGUUAGUAGCCAUAAUGGAUGACUAUCCCUUUAAAAUUUUGACCACCCUUGUCCGGAUGGUUUUUGCCAUGCCCUUAUUCAUUCAUUUAGAUAUUGUUUCACUCUUAUAAAAAAUAUUCUAGUUUAGCACUUUCUUGGGAUAUGCAAUUGCAUUCAAUUUCAAGGAACAUCAUGAUAUUUACCAUCUUUUAUGAUUUGGAGGGUUGUGUUUGUUUAUGAUAUCCUCCGAAUCUGGCGAAAUCCGAGGCAUAUGAACCAACCCCACCUCAAUCAUUCACCAACUUUUACUGUAAUUUACUAAUUUUGAGUCACGCUUUACCCUUCAAUAAACUUUCCACUCUCAUCGUCCUUCUACUCGUACACCUAAUUCUUUACUGUCACACUUUAAUUUAAACAUGGAAGUAAAUAUCAUACUUUUUUUGAGUGGCCGACUGACUAGGAUCCUACUACCCUCCUCAUUUCUCAAGCCUUUGUUUUACACUUCUACAGUGAUGGCAGUCCGGAAAGUGUACGGAAGCCUAGACUCUCCGGCCACCUUGAAGGUCCUUGCAUGUCUCUUCGAGCACCACCUGGACUUCGAGUUCGUCCCCGUCGAUAUCAGCGCCAGUGACAACAGAAAGAAACCCUUUCUCAACAUGAGUGUAAAGCUUCAUGGCUUUUUAGUUUUUACAGUAAAAAUCACUGGAUUUGCGUUUUCUUUUCCUUUCAUUUCUUGAGAAUUAAAUUUUGUGCUUUGUGUUGAAUAGCCCUUUGGUCAAGUUCCCGUGUUUGAAGACGGAGGCUAUACACAAUUCGGUAAGCCGCGUUGAAUUUGCAUUUCUAAGCAGAAAAUUUAUGGUGAUAUUAACAGAAAAAAGGGAAAUGUGAGCGCAGAAUCAAGGGCAAUUGUAAGAUCAAUGGGGCAUCAAUAUGGGAAGAAAGGAGAAGAGCUCGUCUUUUGGAAUUCUCAGAAGCAAGCCGUUGUGUCCAACUGGAUUGACGUCGAGGACCACAAGUUCGAGCCGCCGGCGCUGGAGCUCAUUUCCGAGCUGCUAACCAAGCCCGGGAAUGGCUUGGCUCCUGACUUAGCAGUGGUGGCCAAAGCUGAAGCCCAGCUAGCUAAAGUCCUGGACGUGUACGAGGCUCGGCUGGCUGAGUUCAAGUACUUGGCGGCUGACAACUACACCAUUGCCGAUGUACUUCACCUUCCCAACUUGCAGGCCCUCAUGGAAACUCCGGCGAAGAAGCUUAUAGAAUCACGCGCUCGUGUCAGCGCGUGGUGCUCCGAUAUCUUGGCUCGACCUGCUUGGGCCAAGGUGGUGGAGAUGAAGCUCAAGGCUCAUGCUUAGCCGCUAUGUUUUUUUUUUUUUUUUUUUUUUUUUGGGGGUCUCUCAUAAUAAAUGGACUUUAUUAAAAUUUUCCUGUUGCAUUUUAUUUUUAUUUUUUUGGGAUGGUCUGAUGAGGCUUCUGUUCCAAGGGUGGUAACCAUAAUCACAAUGGGGAUCCUAAAAAUUAAACAAAAAGAUUUCUUGUAAAAAAGAAAAAUCAAUAAAAUUUUAUUAAAAAUCGAAAUAAUUUCAAUAUUUUUUAAUCAAAAUAUUCAAAAAAAAAAUUCUUAAAAAAGCUAAGAAACUUUUGUAUAUAACUGGUUUUAUGUAAUAUUUUUGAGGAAAGAGACGUUAAGAAAUGUUAAACACAUCCAUCAUUUAUUUAUUUAUUUAUUUUUACAUCCAUUUUAUUAAAAAAUAAAAAGAUAAACUCUUCAUUGUCCCUCCUCAACUUGGAGCUCUAGCUUCUCGACCAUAUUUCAAUAACAAAACUGUCACACUAGUCUUCCAUUUAUGUCAUAUAAAGUGGUAAGGUAGCAGUCUGCAAUCACGAAUGGGCGGAGCCCUAGGGAUAGAGCAGAAUCCAUAGCAUGAUUUCUGAAAGUCACAUGCAGAUAACAAUAUAAAAGUAAGUGUCUGCCUCAGUGGCUGGGAUUUUGUGACUAUCAAAACAGGUGCUUGGAUUUUGUGAAUCAUAAAUAUAAAAUGUGGGGGAUGCCACCCACAUUGGAAAAUGACAACCCUCGACCCUCGUGGUCUUGAUUUUUGGAUAUAAAUACAGAAUAUUAUAUAUUUAACUGAGCAAGAAGAAGGAGAACAGAUGUAUUUGUUCAGGUUGCCUGCCCUUCAAACUAGCUACCCCAUGCCAUCAGGGCAUAUCUAUGCAAAGAGAGGACGGUUAGCUGCAACCCUAAGAUUACUACCAGUCCAUAUGCCUGUUUUAUAUUCAUAUAUAGAAUUGCCAAACUCCCCAUAACAAAUAGUAUAGAGAACUGGCCAGUAAAAGACAAUAAUGGAGAAGCCUUAUGGUAAAGUUUGAUCCAUCUUCAGCUGUAGAUAUCCCUUUGUGUUCUUUUUAUGGUUUUGACUUUGAUCACCAGUAAAGGUUUUUUUUAAUAACAUUUUAAAAAUUAAUAAAUUAUGAUGGAGCUUAUGGUUAAUUUUAUUUGCUGUGGAACCCAUUGAACGUCUAUAAGAAAGGUCAUUUUCCAACUCAUCCUGUCUGAUGCGAGGCAGUCAUGGCUGUUCGGAAACUGUAUGGAGCCCUUGAUUCCCCUUCCACCAUGCGAGCCCUGGCUUCUCUUUUCGAGCACGACGUCGAGUUUGAGCUCAUUCCCGUCGACUUCCAGGCCGGAGAGCUCAAAAAGAUGCCUUCCCUCUCCGUAAGUGUAUAAACUCCCCUAACUCCUCAUCACUUUCUUCUUUCUGACCAAGCAUCAAAUUGGAAUCACAAUUCUCUCUUUCUAACAAUUGUUUUAUGCUCCUUUCCUUGAUCGGCAACAGCCCUUUGGCGAGCUUCCGGUCUUUCAAGAGGGGGACUUGACUCUUUUCGGUAAUGCUUUUUACACAUUAUCCUCUCCGGCAUGGUUGCCUGGAACAAAGAGUGAAAAUCUUGACAACAGGACUGUGUUUUCUUUCAGAGUCGAGGACGAUCAUGAGGUACAUAUCGCAUGAGUAUGGGAAGCGUGGGGAAGAGCAGGUUUACGAGAUACCGAAGCUGCAAGGAAUAGCGGCGGCAUGGAUAGAUGUUGAGGACCACCAGUUCGAUCCUCCAGCUUCAAAGCUGAUAUGGGAGCUGGUUUUCAAGCCCCAGAAGGGUCUGCCGACGGAUGAAGGUGUGGUGGAAGAAGAAGAGGCGAAGCUAGUGAAGGUGUUGGAUGUGUACGAAGAGAGGCUCAGCAAUUCCGUCUUCUUGGGAGGAGAUAAGUUCACUUCAGCUGAUCUGACUCACAUCCCAUCCUUGUACUUGUUGAUGAAGACUCCGGUGAAGCGGCUGUUCGAGGAGCGGCCUCGUGUGAGGGCUUGGUACAGGGGCGUCAUGUCCAGGCCAGGCUGGGAAAAGAUGGUGGAGAUGGUUGAGAAAGUUCGAGCUUAGGGAGCUUUUGAAACAAUUACCUGAGAUUCUUCUUCUUCUUCUAGCAUUGCUUGAUCCAUUCUCAUCGGAUUCUCCCAGCUUUUGGACUGGUAUGAUUGUUUGUAUUAUUGUGCUCCAGGGACAGUACUGAACUUUUCUGCUUUAUAAGUCCAUUUAAUUUAAAGGUACAAUUAUGCUUUUCAAUUUGAUAAUUAAGGUAACCAAAUCCAACCAUACUAUGAUAAAGAUACGAGACAGUAAUUGAUAAAAAUACCAACUUGACUCAUUUUUAUUUUUAUUAUAUUAUUUAUCAUUAUUCUUUCUUAUUUAAUAAAUUUUAGAUUUUUCAUUAUUUUUUUAAACUCUUUUAUAAAUAAUUGAAAAAUUAAUAUUAUUUAUGAAAUAUUAUAGAUUAUGAGUCAUUCAUUUAUUUUUCUUAUCACUCACGAAUUAUGCAUAUAUGUCAUACAUUUUAUUAUGAAAAUUUCAAUACUUUAUCCAAUAAUGAUAUUUGAGGAAAAUUUUUUUGACCAUAAGUCAUCCACCAUUUUCUUAAUUAAACCAUUAGAAAUAUGGUUAAAUACUCCUACAUGGACACAUAACUUAAGAGAGAUAUGAAAUUUGUGUCAUUAUACAAGGAUAUUACACUAACUAUACAAGGGAAUUAUACUAAUUGUACAAAUGUGUACAAAAUUACCAUUUGUGAAUUAUUUUAAUUAAUUCUAAACCACUUGUAAACAUUUAUACAAAGAUAGAUAUCAUGUUUUGCCCCUUCAAACCUUCAUCUAUGGGUUGCAAAGUAGAAUUAUCCUUCCUCACUUUAAUCGUAGCUCUUCUUUCAUAACUAAGACCAUACCUCCCAUUUGAGAGAGGGACUUCCUUCUUCUAGAAGUAGCAAAAGAGGCUGACAGAAACAAAUAGCAUAGAGGGCAACAAGCAGUUCAUCUGCCAUCCUGAGCAAAACUAGCUGAGGACUAACUUGAAUUGCAGAGAUUGAACUGAAAGAUAAAUCUGUCAAGCUGUAAAUGAUACCAUGAAUGAUGAAUUUUCCAUGAAAGUUUUUGAGAAAGAAAAUUUCUUUCACAUUUCCUGGAAAGUUGCAGGCUGCUUCAACUUUUACUUCCCUGCAUGAUCAUCUGCCAUGGACUUGACUCAAGAGUGAGUCUCCCCAUGGUCCACAGAGGAUUAAUUAAUGGUGUGUCUCAACCAUGGAAUUUUAGUGUGCAUCUCCUAGAAACUACUGCAGAUUCCCAACCGUGCAGAUAUGGAUCCAAAGGGGCUCUCACGGCUUUAAAACAUGUUUAUGGGGUUAAAAGGAGUUCAUACUUAUAUAACGUCGAGAACUUUCCCCUAUAUGGGAUAUCACAAAUACGCCUCAUGCAAACACAAUAUUAUCGUUGUGUCUCAUGGAAUUACGGGACCAAACAAACGAACACCCACUACUAGAUCAAACAAAUUCUCAUACCGAAUUUAGGAAUCGAUUUUGAUACCAUUUAUAACGAUCAACUUCUAAUCGUGUAGAUAUUGUCCUUUUUAAAUCCAAAGAAAUCUUGCGGCUUUAAAAUACGUCUAUAAAAUUAAAAGGAGUUUAUAUUUAUAUAAUGUCAGAAACUUUUUUUCUUAUCCUUGAUAGGAUGUCACAACUAGAAUGAUUCUAAUUCUACAUUAUUAUAAUAAAAGAAAAAUUAACAUAUUCAUGGUUGAAGUUUUGGGGUAUGCAUGCAAAAUCAAGGGCCAUCACACAAUACACUGCCCACGAGUACGCGUCAAAGGGGACCCAACUGAUAUUCCCAUAUCCAACAGAAAUGGCUAUCAUGUCAGUAUGGAUGGAGGUGGAGGCGCACCAGUUCGACCCUCUUGCGUCCAAGCUGCAUGACGAGCUGGCUGUGUAGCCCACCCACACCUCGACCAUUGACAAAGCUGCAGUGGAGGAGCUAGAAACCAAAUUGGCCAAGGUUUUGGAUGUGUACAAGGGUCGUUUGGCCGACCAGGUUAUUCAAGAUGUUUUUAAUUUUGAAAAAAAAUCUUAUUAUAUAUACAUUUUCUUAUUAAAACAAAAUGUGUAAGUCCACCGUCUCCACAACUUUAUUGGUAUCAUGUGGGGCAUAAGUCUAAAAAUCUCUGGGAAAGAUUUGGACAUUUGCAAUACAUGUGUCCCUCUCUUUUUUUGUCUUUUCCGCUUUGUUUUUUGCCCUUCACAUCUUCUAAUUACAAGCCUAGUUGGAGAAAUACUUAAAUGAAAUAUUUUUUUACUCCAUGAUUUAAAGGUGUUUGGUUUUUUUUUGCUUUUCAUUUAAAACAAUUUGCUUUCAAACUUUAAAUUAUUUAUUUUUCUACUUUUUCAUAAUUUAUUAUAAACUUUUUAUUAAAUAAAAAAAGCAACAUAUUGAUUUAUUUUUUACUUUUUAAUACUUAAUAGAAAUAAAAUAUUUAAAAAACAAACAACUUAAUAUUUAAUAUUAUUAAAAAUUAAAAUUUUAUUUAGAAUUAAAUAAAAAAACAAACAUCAUUUUAAACUUAAUUAGUAACUGUUUUAGAAAAUAAUUUUUUAGAAUAGUUUUAAAAAACAUGCUUUUCUAUUUUUUUUUUUGAAGAAUAAAAAAUUAUUUUUAAAAACAAUUAUGAAAAAGGCCUUUAGAUUUUACUCAUUCAUAUCUUAUUUUACUAAAUUUUAUUACUUCAAAAAAGAUAGUUUUUUUUGUUUUAGAGGACAAAAAAUUGUUCUCAAAAUCAAAUACCAAACAUACCCUUAGAUUUUACUAAUUCUUCCCUUAUCUCACUAAAUUUUCUCAUUACAAAAAGGAAGGGAUAAAUUAAUUAGAAUUUUUGUUAAAUUCAUAUAUAAGCCUUGUAAAGUAACUAAAAUUUUUGCUAAAUUCAAAUAAAAGCAUAAAUAUCAACAAAAGUUAAGGAUACAACUUAUCCGAAAAUACAAAAAUAUUGGUUGUUACAUUUUAUCUAAAUAAAAAAUAUAUAUAGAAUGAAAUUCUAAAAAAAAAAAAAAGAAAUUUAUCAAAACUCAUAUAAAAUGUUGAAAAAAAUUCAAUAAAUAAUAAAUUAAGUAGUAGUACAUACACUAAUGCGGUUUUAAAAAACAAUAUUUAUAUAGUAAAAAAUUUGUAAUAUUGAAUAAUAAUAUGAAUAAUUAAAAACAUGUUUUUAUAUAGGGAUAACUGAUCAAAAGGGACAAAAAUCCCUUAAUAUUGUAAAACUAACCCCCCACUUUUAAUAGCCUCCAAAAUGACCCAAUUCGAAUAAAAAUGCCCCUUAGCUACAUGAACUCCUUUUUCCCUCCCAUUCUAAUUUUAUUUCCCUUCAUUCACCUCUUUUUUAUUCUUUCUUCCAUUUUCUCCUUUUUUUUCAUUUUCUCCUGUUAUUCCGUUUCCUUUUUUUUAAUGCAUUUCUUCAAGUCUCACACAGUUUCUCUUCAGAUUUCUUCAACUUAAAGCGCUUUAAGUUGUGGUUGGAUAAACAAUGUACGCUUAUUUUUAUUUUUCUAUAUUUUUUUCUUUCAUGUUUUAUUUAUUGAAUAUUUUCAAACAUUUAAUGAGAUGUAGUAAAUAUUUAAAUAAGUUUAAAAUUGUUAUAAUUUUUUUAAUAUCAUUUACAACCAUGAAAAAAUGGAUUAAAAUAAGGAAGCAAUUAGCUUAAAAAGUGUAGUGUGGAGAAACAUUGUCCAUAUGGAAAAAUCAAAUGAUGGUAAGUAAUAAAACUUAUGGAAUUUUAUGAUGGUUUUGGUAUUGUUUGCAUAUUUGUUCUUUAUAUAGAUGUAAAUAUAUGUGUUAAUAGGGUUUUGAUAUAAUAUAUAAAAUUAUCUUUUUUAGUUAUAUAUCAAAACCUUACGGAUAUUAAGUUGAACUUGACGUAAGUUAAGAUUGUAUAUAGUUAUUUUAUAGUAAUAUUAUAUUAUUGUUAUUUUAUUUAAUUAUACUCAAUUUGAGUUGAAUCAUUUGCAAAUUACCCUUGACAUUAAAUGAAUUACAACAUAACCAAUCUUUUAGUAAUAAAUAUAUUUUUAUUGUUUAAAAUAGUUUAGAGUUACAAUGUCUGAAUUUAUUUAAUAACUAUAUACAUUGUAUUUCUAUAGCAUUAUUGGUAUUAUUUGAAGUAAUAAAGAUGAUUAAUAAUGUUAUUUAUUUGUUGUUUAUUAAAAAAAUAAAUAUGUGUAAUGAAAUAAUAUGUAUUUAAUAAUGAAUGAGUUUUUUAAAAUUAAUACCUACUUAUUGGUGCUAAUGCUAUGAGGUAACUAAAAAAUAUUCUAAUAUUGUUUGUUGAUGCCACUAAUUGAAUUAUUUUGUUAUUUUAGUGGUUGUUGAAGUAGGAAUAAUGCUUUUAUAUGAAGGAGAAUGGGUAUGAGAUGGAAAUGUUUCUAUUUCGAAGGAAGUCAAGGUAAAGGCAUUGAGAUCCCGAAAACUAUAUCAUAUAAAGAGUUAUUAGAGGUUGUUCAUCAUAUUCUGAAGCUAGAUCCAACAAAUUGUUUUCUUUCAAUGAAGUGUGUAUUCAAUGCCAACAUACCCACAAGUCCUAUACAACUAACUGAUGAUGGGGAUGUGAAAUUCUUUAUUAGUUUAAAUUGUACAAAUGGUAAGCUGCCUGUUCCAUUGUGCAUCACAGUUGAAAAGAGAAUUGAUAAUCACAAUCAGAAAUCAAUUUGCAAUUCUUAUUUCGAAUGUCAUAUGUCUUCUGAGAUUGAUAAAGAAUUGAAUGGGGACUCAAUGUUGAUGCAUAAAAGUAGACACAUUCAUUGUGAUUUAGUUGAAACUCUUACUGUUGAUGGUGAAAAUGGACCAAGAUUUCAAAAUGAGUCACUUGAAGGGUAUAAAGUUCAUGAUUGGAACAUGAACGAGACUACAAUUAAUGAGGAGGAUUAUAGGAUGAAUACUAACCCUACUAAUGAUAAGCAAGUGACCCAAAUUGGCUCAUUCAGAACUGUUUCAGCUCAGAGUGCAGAAAUCUUGACCAUGAUUGAUACAAAUGAUGGUUUCAUACAUGACAAUCCCACUAUAAUCGAAGAUGUAGCAAAUGAAAGACAAAACAUGAUGCAACAACCUAUAGUUAGUGGAAUUAGUGAUGACCAUCUAGAAGAGCACCAAAUAUACUCAAGUAAGAAAGAAUUACAAAGGAAGUUGUAUAUGAUGGCUCUGAAAAGGAAGUUUGAGUUCAAAACAACUAAAUCCACUACUAAGUUGUUGCUUGUUGAAUGUUUUGAUAAAGAAUGCAAGUGGCGAGUUCGUGUUACCAAGUUAGGGGUUUCCAAUAUGUUUCAAAUAAUGAAAUUCUAUUCAACACACACUUGUCGGUUAGAUAUGAUGUCUCGUGACAAUCGACAUGCAAGUAGUUGGUUGAUUGGUGAGAGUACAUAAGUUGUUCCAUGAUGCUGCCCAUGCUUAUCGUGUUUCAGAGUUUAAUUUUAUAUUUGGGCAACUAGAGAUGAUUGACCCAAGAGCAGUAAGAUAUUUGAUGGAUAUAGGAGUUGAUCAAUGGGCAUGUUCAUAUUCUACCGGAAAAAGAUAUAAUAUCAUGACGACAGGGAUCGUUCAAAGCCUUAAUACUGUGUUGAAAAAUGCUAGAGAUCUUCUGGUUUUGUAAUUGGUUGAAGAAUUGAGAAACUUACUUCAAAAAUGGUUUGUGACUCAUCAACAACAAGCAAUGUCAAUAUCAACUGAACUUACCAUGUGGGCUGAUGGAGAACUUCAUUCGAGGUAUAAUAUGUCAGCAACAUAUCUAGUGGAAGCUAUCAACUCCAAGAAGUGUAAUGUUAACUAUGUCGGCAUUAGUGCUCAAGUGAAUUUAGACACUUGUUCAUGCACAUGUCGACAAUUUGAUCUUAAUCAUAUUCCAUGUGCACAUGUUAUUACUGCUUGUAGAUUUUACAACAUUUCAUGUUACCCUUUGUGCUCCAAGUAUUUUACUACUAAAACAUUGUUAUCUUCAUAUUCAGAGUGUAUUUAUCCAACUGGAAAUGAAAUAGAUUGGGUGGUACCUAAUCAUAUUCAUGACAAAGUUGUGUUACCACCUAAAAUGAGACACCCAAUAGGAAGACCAAGGAAAGUAAGAAUGCCUUUUGGUGGAGAGGGCAAACGCACAUCUCGUUGUAGUCAAUGUGGUCAAUAUGGGCAUAAUCGGAAAACAUGCAAACGACCAAUCCCUUGAUAUCAUGAUAGCUUUGGCACUCUAUGAACUUACAUGGAAUGAAAAUUGUAAUAGUGAGUUUUUUUGUUUUUUUGGUACCCAUGUGAACGGAAAUGUAAGUUACUUUUUUUGUAUAAGGUGAUAGGAUAAGCACAUAGAUGAAUAUUGUAAUAAUGAUCCUUUUUUUUUGCAUACCCAUAGAAAUGGAGAUAUUUGUUACUUUUGUACAUAUAUGUUAUGAUGAGUUAUGUAUAAAGUAUGAAUGAAAAUUGCAUGUUUAUUCUCAAACUAUGGACUCAACUGUUCUCACGUUUAUUGAUAAGGAACUUGACAAUAAUUAAGUUCAGGUUUUGUUUGAGGACUGUAGACUUAACUACCUUCAAGUUUGUACAUAAAACAAUUUGACAAUGGUUAAGUUCAGGUUUUGUCUAAAGACUAUUGACUUAAUUGCCUUCAAGUUGAUACAUAAAACAACUUAACAGUAGUUAAGUUCAGGUUUUGUCUAAAGACUAUGGACUUAAAUACCUUCAAGUUUAUAUAUAAAAUAACUUGACAAUAAUUAAGUUCAGGUUUUGUUUAAAGACUGUGAACUUAACUACCUUCAAGUUUGUACAUAAAACAACUUGACAAUAGUUAAGUUCAAGUUUUGCCUAAAGACUGUGGACUUAACUACCUUCAAGUUUGCACACAUAACAACUUGACAACAAUCAAGUUUAGUUUAAAAGGUCAAUUGUAUACAUAACUAUUGAACAACAUUCAUCAAAAUAUCCAAGUAUAUAUAUCAAGUUGUCCAACUACAUUUAUCAAAAUGUCUAACUACAUAUAUGACGCUAUCCAAUUACAUAUAACAAACCAUCCAACUACAUUAUUAAAAUGUGAAAUAUCAACAUGAAUUCAUUACAUAGGCAAGUAUUUCAUAUAAAAUAACUCUGCUGCCAUCUUUUCCGAAAACCAGUCCAUUCGAGCACUUGUUAAUGACUUCAAUGGAUGGUUGUGCAUUAAGUAUUCAACAUAUUUGAUAACAAACAUGCCACAAUCACCACUGCAUGGUACACAGAUAAUCAAUGUUAGGACUAUUAUUAAAGAUUAAGUGUAUAAGAUAUGAAAGUAAAUUUAAGAUCACUUACUCAUUUUCCUAUUGAGGAAUAUCUUGCAGUCGUUCAAUUUCCCAUUCUUGGUAGUUAACUUUUGUGUUACCAUGAAACCCAUAAUAUGCUAUUGCAUUUAAUAUAUGCGACAACAAUUUGGCUAAUGGUUUAAUGGCAACUUGCAAUCUUGCAUUAUUAUUGAUGCCCAUCAAUGAGUCAUAUACAUAUAUAAUCCUUCGAUGAAGGUGGACAACUCCUAAUACCCAAUGACUAGCUCGAACAUUGAUGGGGACAUACACAAUGUCAACAUCAUGCCAUUUGACAUAAUAAAAAGGUUGCAAACCAUUGGCAUAAUCAAUAAGAAUGUCAUUCUCUGGUAAUUUGAAUUGGUUCCAUUUCUUGCCAUGCUUAAUCCAUCUUGCUUGAGCAUUUUGCUACAUAGAAUAAAGUUAACAUACAUAAAUAAAUAACCAAGAUCAUAAAAUUCAUUAUUACAAAAAAUUAAAAAUGAUAACUAAAAUUCAAACUACACAUACCCAAAACAUAG
This 19238-nucleotide long non-coding RNA is filed under the name Vitis vinifera (wine grape). RNAcentral's name for it is "long non-coding RNA (VVIN_LNC002041)". The record is from RNAcentral. Lineage: Eukaryota; Viridiplantae; Streptophyta; Magnoliopsida; Vitales; Vitaceae.